RNAcentral lists this ribosomal RNA (253 nucleotides) under uncultured bacterium. Its description in RNAcentral is "partial 16S ribosomal RNA". It matches the Rfam family "Bacterial small subunit ribosomal RNA", at positions 524 to 776 of the family's 1533-position model. The record is from RNAcentral.
UACGAGGGGGGCAAGCGUUGUUCGGAAUUAUUGGGCGUAAAGAGCUCGUAGGCGGUUUGUCGCGUCUGCCGUGAAAGUCCGGGGCUCAACUCCGGAUCUGCGGUGGGUACGGGCAGACUAGAGUGCAGUAGGGGAGACUGGAAUUCCCGGUGUAGCGGUGAAAUGCGUAGAGAUCGGGAGGAACACCAGUGGCGAAGGCGGCUACCUGGACCAGCACUGACACUGAGGCACGAAAGCGUGGGGAGCAAACAGG